RNAcentral lists this ribosomal RNA (255 nucleotides) under uncultured bacterium. Its description in RNAcentral is "partial 16S ribosomal RNA". It matches the Rfam family "Bacterial small subunit ribosomal RNA", at positions 524 to 776 of the family's 1533-position model. The record is from RNAcentral.
UACGGAGGGUGCAAGCGUUAUCCGGAUUCACUGGGUUUAAAGGGUGCGUAGGCGGGCAGGUAAGUCAGUGGUGAAAUCCUAGAGCUUAACUCUAGAACUGCCAUUGAUACUAUCUGUCUUGAAUAUUGUGGAGGUAAGCGGAAUAUGUCAUGUAGCGGUGAAAUGCUUAGAUAUGACAUAGAACACCUAUUGCGAAGGCAGCUUACUACGCAUAUAUUGACGCUGAGGCACGAAAAGCGUGGGGGAUCAAACAGG